CUGGCAAUGGUUUGGCAGUGAGCGAUUCUUAUUAGGGGAAUAUGCAUAGUGAAGGAUGGUCCACCUAUUAGUUUACUCUUUUUAUGUUGGUGUAUGUCUGGUUUGAUAUUAUUGUUGAAUAAUUUAAGUUUGUGUAGUUUUAGUUAAGCUAAGUCUAUGUGCUGCUUAUGGGAGUUUUUGUGUGUUACAUUAAUAAGGGUGUUAUUGUAAGAUGAUGUGAUUUAGA
RNAcentral lists this ribosomal RNA (226 nucleotides) under Echinococcus granulosus. RNAcentral describes it as "partial 12S ribosomal RNA". Lineage: Eukaryota; Metazoa; Platyhelminthes; Cestoda; Cyclophyllidea; Taeniidae. The record is from RNAcentral.